UUGGGAAUAUUGGACAAUGGACGAAAGUCUGAUCCAGUGACGCCGCGUGAAGGAAGAAGGUCUUCGGAUUGUAAACUUAUUUUGUCAGGGAAGAAAUAAAUGACAGUACCUGAAGAAGAAGGACCGGCAAACUACGUG
RNAcentral lists this ribosomal RNA (138 nucleotides) under uncultured bacterium. RNAcentral describes it as "partial 16S ribosomal RNA". It matches the Rfam family "Bacterial small subunit ribosomal RNA", at positions 355 to 507 of the family's 1533-position model. The record is from RNAcentral.